Non-coding RNA from Anolis sagrei ordinatus, 423 nucleotides. NCBI's taxonomy places the organism in Eukaryota, Metazoa, Chordata, Lepidosauria, Squamata, Anolidae. The record is from RefSeq and is a predicted model, not a curated record.
AGGAAACAAGUCCCAACUGAAUAGGAAUUAGGAUUUGAGACAGUGAGCAGGAAUUGCAGCGACGUCAAGAUUAGCAAGAUGAGAAAGCACAGAAACAGCCGUACGAUGAAGAGAGAUGGUGACAGACCAAAAAGUACCAGGGUUAAAUAUGGUACGUGAUCCUAAACAGCCAAUUGGAUGGUAAACCAACACCUGGAUUGUACCACUAAAGACUAUAAGUGCAUGUCAGGACCUCUGAGACAAAUUUUGAAAGGUGGAACGAAACUAGCUUUAGCCAUGCUGGCGAGGUGUGUGUGUGUGUGUUCUCGAAAUUGAUUGAUCAAUUAAGCUUUUAAAGAUAAUGGUGUAGCAUGAAAUUUUAAUGCUGUACUUCAUCCUUCUUUGUAGAGAAAUAUGAUUAUAAUAAAACAUGAACAAAGUAGA